UUUCUGCAGAGGCGGCUGCCAUUGGCCCCAAGAGUUCGCUGUCGAAAGUGCCAGCCCCCGCGCCGGCGUCGGGAGCAGCCGGGUGGGAAGGUUCAAAAUGGCGUGCCUAUUGGAGACCCCCAUCCGUAUGAGCGUCCUCUCGGAAGUAACAGCUAGCAGUCGCCACUAUGUUGACAGGCUAUUUGACCCUGAUCCCCAGAAAGUUCUACAAGGUGUCAUAGACAUGAAAAAUGCCGUAAUUGGAAACAACAAGCAGAAAGCCAACCUCAUUGUUUUAGGAGCUGUUCCAAGGUUGUUGUACUUGCUUCAGCAAGAAGCCUCAAGCACAGAGCUGAAAGCUGAAUGUGCAGUGGUAUUGGGAAGUCUUGCUAUGGGUACUGAAAACAAUGUUAAGUCUCUACUAGACUGUCAUAUUAUCCCUUCCUUACUGCAAGGACUACUGUCCCCAGACCUGAAGUUCAUUGAAGCUUGCCUCCGAUGCUUACGCACCGUCUUCACCAGUCCUGUCACUCCUGAGGAGCUACUGUACACGGAUGCCACAGUGAUACCACACCUCAUGGUGCUGCUUAGCAGGUCUCGCUACACACAGGAGUACAUCUGUCAGAUCUUCUCACACUGCUGUAAGGGGCCAGAUCAUCAAACAAUUUUAUUUAACCAUGGUGCAGUUCAGAAUAUUGCUCACCUACUAACCUCAGUGUCCUACAAAGUUCGAAUGCAAGCACUGAAAUGCUUCUCAGUUUUAGCUUUUGAAAACCCCCAGGUAUCGAUGACCCUGGUAAAUGUUUUGGUUGAUGGAGAAUUGUUACCCCAGAUUUUUGUGAAGAUGUUACAGAGGGAUAAGCCUAUUGAGAUGCAGCUCACAUCAGCAAAAUGUUUAACUUACAUGUGUAGAGCUGGUGCAAUUCGGACAGAUGACAGCUGUAUUGUAUUAAAGACAUUGCCUUGUUUGGUUCGAAUGUGCAGUAAGGAGAGAUUACUGGAGGAGAGAGUUGAAGGAGCUGAGACACUCGCCUAUCUGAUUGAACCAGAUGUUGAGCUACAGAGGAUUGCUAGCAUAACUGAUCACCUCAUCGCCAUGCUUGCUGAUUAUUUCAAAUAUCCCAGCUCAGUGAGUGCCAUCACUGAUAUUAAAAGGCUUGAUCAUGACUUAAAACAUGCUCAUGAACUCCGCCAGGCUGCAUUCAAGCUCUAUGCCUCUCUAGGAGCAAAUGAUGAAGACAUCCGGAAGAAGAUCAUUGAGACUGAAAAUAUGAUGGACCGAAUUGUGACUGGCUUGUCUGAGUCUAGUGUCAAGGUGCGGUUAGCUGCUGUCAGAUGUUUGCACAGUUUAUCCAGAUCCGUGCAGCAGCUUCGAACCAGCUUCCAGGAUCACGCUGUAUGGAAACCUUUAAUGAAGGUUUUACAAAAUGCACCAGAUGAAAUCCUAGUAGUAGCAUCUUCCAUGCUAUGUAAUCUGCUUCUUGAAUUUUCUCCAAGCAAAGAGCCGAUUUUAGAAUCAGGAGCCGUAGAGCUACUUUGUGGAUUAACCCAGAGUGAAAAUCCCGCUUUACGAGUGAAUGGAAUUUGGGCUUUAAUGAAUAUGGCAUUUCAGGCUGAACAAAAAAUAAAAGCUGAUAUUUUACGAAGCUUGAGUACUGAACAGCUAUUCCGGUUAUUAUCAGAUUCAGAUUUGAAUGUGCUAAUGAAGACAUUGGGACUUCUUCGGAAUCUCCUCUCUACUCGUCCUCAUAUAGAUAAAAUAAUGAGUACUCAUGGAAAACAAAUUAUGCAAGCUGUCACCCUUAUUCUGGAAGGGGAACAUAACAUAGAGGUCAAAGAGCAGACACUGUGCAUCCUGGCCAACAUAGCGGAUGGGACAACGGCAAAAGAACUUAUUAUGACCAAUGAUGACAUACUGCAGAAAAUCAAGUAUUACAUGGGUCAUUCACAUGUGAAACUGCAGCUUGCCGCGAUGUUUUGUAUAUCAAACCUCAUAUGGAAUGAAGAGGAAGGUUCACAAGAACGUCAGGAUAAAUUACGAGACAUGGGCAUCGUAGAUAUUCUACAUAAACUGAGUCAGUCACCAGAUUCAAACCUUUGUGACAACUCCUUAGAACCCUCAGUGUCCUCUCCCACGUCCUGCAUGACUAGGCAAAAUCUACACGGCAGUAGGAGAAAGUAAGAGUUCCAGGUCCAUCACAACUGUACACCAGUGACCCAGGAAAACUGUAAAAUGUCAGAGCAUACAAGAGAUGAAGUGUCUGCUGACCAUGGAUCUCUGCCCCUUAAAGGCAAAGACGGCACUGCAGCAGUACCUGGCGUGAUGGGAGGCACCCCCGGGCACCUGCGAGCACCCCGCAUCCUUGUUAAGGAAGUACAGGAACUAGCCUCAUUUGAUUCUUUCUAUUUGCACAAGUCACCUUGGACUGCAGGGAGCUGUUUUGAAAAAGCAGUUUAGUAGGCUUAGAUCUCAAAUUCAUCUCGAGAACACUUUUUUUGAGGUAGUAAUUUCCUCAGAGGACUAUUGUGUUUUUUGUUUGUUUGUUUGUUUUUCUGAGCUACCUGGACUCUUUAUUAGAACAAUCAGUCAUCAUUUUCCUUUGGACCUACAAUUUUUUGCCUAUGCUGCAGCCACUUUGUGAAUGAGAAUGUAUGUGUCUGUGUGCACACACAGGCGUGUGUGUACUGAUGUGUCUGUGCACCUGGGUCAGCAUGGAUGUGUGUGUGUGUGUGUAUGUGUGUGUGUGUGUGUGCGUGUGUGUGAGGGAUACCUCAGAAUUUUGUUCUUAUUUUUUGUGAAAAUCUCUUUUCUACAGAUUUUCCAGGGUUUAAGCAUUGCUUGCUGUAUAAAAACUUUACUGAAUUAUAUACAGUUUGAAUGAAAUGUUAUUUUAAAAACAAAAUAAUUGUUAAGUGUUCCAUAAAGGUUAUGUUAAAUUUUGGUCAGAUGAAUAUUUGUAAGUAAAAAAAUAUAUGCAUUUCCGAACCUCAACUUACAUAGAUUUUCUUUAUAAAAAAAAAAAAAAAGAAAAAGUUGGCUAUAGUUGGCCUGAAUAACAGGCACUAUAUAUGGUGCUGUGCAAAACAGUGAGCUAGCAUCUUACUGCCGUCAAUAUUAACAGGUACAGAGCCUUUUUUCAGCUUAAGUCAAUAAGUUCUCAGGCUUCCAAGACAGAUAGACAGGGUGGAGUGGAGUGAGACAACAGAUUCACUGUAGGAUUUUUGAAACCUCUAAGGGAAGUAUAACUACUGAUAGUGAGAGGCCAGCCAUGGCUGUGGUGGGCGGCCCGUGCUAGGACCUGGGACCUAGAGCCCUCCCAUUGCCCGAGAUCCUGUCAGUGGUAUGACAGUAUCCAGCAAGAUUAACAGGCAGUCAUGGAACUUUAAUCUCAAAGUGAAGUAGGUCAUCACUUCCUGAAAAGAAAGGUCACCUAUGCUUCCUGAACAGCAUCUAUCACUAUGAAACUAAAGAAUGUUCUACAGAACCCUCUGUAGAAACAAGCAAAGAACAGGAUAGGAAAGCUGUCUUUCUCUCAGCUGUGCUCAGCAAACUCCAUACUAGUUGCUCAGGACUGAUGUUCAGUAUGUUUUCGUAAAAUGAAGUCAAAAUUUUAGUAAAAGAUACAGCUAAGAACUUUUCCUGCAUGAAGAUAGAAGCACUCAAGUUGAGAGAAGGAAAGGGAAUCUUCCCAAGAUGACCAAAGAUAAAUGACCGAAGAUGACUUCUUUUUACAGCCAAGUACUGCUUAGCCCUCUGCAGCCCUUAGCUUGGUACCUGCUGCUUUCUGGGUCAGCUUCAAGGCAGAACUCAAUAGAAGUUUCUGUUGUCUGUUUGAAGGUAGAACCAGCUUUCCUUUUCCCUUUGCUAAAAGAAGGUCAAAGGCACUGCGUUCAGGAAGCAAGGUCUGUGACCCAGGCUCACAGUGAGUUUGAGCCAGUUGAGGGGGGGUGCCCAGACCCAUCUGCCACUCCUGAUGGGGUUGCUUACAUCUUGGCUGCCCUGUCACCAACCUGCAUCUUCCUUGAAAGAGUUGAAAUACGUUUGGUUGCAAAGGAAUUUUUUAAAAAUGUAUUUAGUGCAGUUUUUCCUGAUCUCAACAUGACCUCCCAAGAUUCAAACACAGAUUUCCAAGUUGUUAUUUUUUCAGAACAUCACUGAUUUAAAAGUCUGUCAAAACAGGGACUUGGGCUUUGUGCAGACAUCAGAGUGCUAGUGUGGGAAUGCCAGCUUAACAAAAACUUAGCUUAUUGGAAAUAAAGCCUUACUUAUGCCCAUGCACUGUAGUUUCUAAUACUGAGAAAAUAUCCUGGGUUAGAAUUUAUAGCAUAAAACACUGUAGAGUUGGUAUUAAAAGUACCAAGUAAAUAUAAAGAAACCAAUUACAAAUUGCUGAGACAAUCUUGAGCCCAAAUAGCAUCAGAAAGCUGAAAGCCCAAUGAAAUAACACUUUGACAUUAAAGCUCUGUGGAUAAAUCUUGCCUGUGGGCAUAAACAGAUGGUCAAACAAAAAAUGCUCUAUUAUAAUUAACUUUUUUUCUGAUUUAAAUGAAGGAAAAUGUAUUUAUUAAAACAAAGCUGUUUUGCUGCUUCAUGCAGGUGUAGUGUUCAGUCAGCAAGGAAGUGGGAAGAGUGGGAUGUGAUCUUGUAUCAACACCCAAGUUCUUAACUAAGCUUCUCGCUCUCUCUAAUGCUGCAUUCUGUUUAUCUUUUUGUGCCCUGAUUGUAACCCAGAAUUUAUGAACUAGAAAAGAAUGUCCAGUUUAAUAAGUUGCUUUUAUUUUUUUUCUUAAGCACUUUAUUUAGAACAUUACAUGUUCUUCUCUUAGUGUUUGGAUAAUAUGAUUUUAACACAUACUAAUAAAAGCCAAGA
Trichechus manatus latirostris (Florida manatee) is the source of this 4850-nucleotide RNA transcript. It is a transcript of the gene named armadillo repeat containing 8, with no coding region annotated. Lineage: Eukaryota; Metazoa; Chordata; Mammalia; Sirenia; Trichechidae. The record is from RefSeq and is a predicted model, not a curated record. The transcript has 23 exons.